UACGGAGGAUCCAAGCGUUAUCCGGAAUCAUUGGGUUUAAAGGGUCCGUAGGCGGUUUAGUAAGUCAGUGGUGAAAGCCCAUCGCUCAACGGUGGAACGGCCAUUGAUACUGCUAGACUUGAAUUAUUGGGAAGUAACUAGAAUAUGUAGUGUAGCGGUGAAAUGCUUAGAGAUUACAUGGAAUACCAAUUGCGAAGGCAGGUUACUACCAAUGGAUUGACGCUGAUGGACGAAAGCGUGGGUAGCGAACAGG
RNAcentral lists this ribosomal RNA (253 nucleotides) under uncultured bacterium. Its description in RNAcentral is "partial 16S ribosomal RNA". It matches the Rfam family "Bacterial small subunit ribosomal RNA", at positions 524 to 776 of the family's 1533-position model. The record is from RNAcentral.